This 408-nucleotide ribosomal RNA is filed under the name Triticum aestivum (bread wheat). RNAcentral describes it as "partial small subunit ribosomal RNA". Lineage: Eukaryota; Viridiplantae; Streptophyta; Magnoliopsida; Poales; Poaceae. The record is from RNAcentral.
AUGCGCCAUGCCCUUUCCUCCCACCUCCGGCGGCGGACCAUGGAUCUGCCUCCGCAGGGGCGGCCACCAGUGGGAAAGCGGAGCAUCGGCAACAACCACCUCUGGCCUCCUGCUCCUCCCAGCAGCGCGGAGACCACCUCUGUCGCCCUGAGUUCCCAGCUGCAUGCAUUCAGGAGCAAGAAAAAUGAGAGGUUAAUUGUCCGUCCACACUGCCUCUCCUUCCAACUCCACACUAGUUUUAUCACAAAAAGCAGAGGAUGUCUAUUUUAUUUCCUGAAACACAAAGUAGGUGUUCUCAGUUCAGUCCGUGAGCUAUCUCAAGAUCUUGGAAAACAUAUAAAACAGUACUGUGUUUGUGCAAAAAUUUCAGAUUGUUUUCUAAUUAUACAGCAGUUUACUAUAUGGUAG